AACGCUAGCUACAGGCUUAACACAUGCAAGUCGAGGGGCAGCAUUUUGGUUUGCUUGCAAACCAAAGAUGGCGACCGGCGCACGGGUGAGUAACACGUAUCCAACCUGCCGUUUACCCUUGGAUAGCCUCCUGAAAGGGAGAUUAAUACAAGAUGGCAUCACGAGAUCCCAUGUUCGCGUGAUUAAAGGUUUUCCGGUAAACGAUGGGGAAGCGUUCCAUUAGGUAGUAGGCGGGGUAACGGCCCACCUAGCCGACGAUGGAUAGGGGUUCUGAGAGGAAGGUCCCCCACAUUGGAACUGAGACACGGUCCAAACUCCUACGGGAGGCAGCAGUGAGGAAUAUUGGUCAAUGGGCGAGAGCCUGAACCAGCCAAGUAGCGUGAAGGAUGACUGCCCUAUGGGUUGUAAACUUCUUUUAUACGGGAAUAAAGUCACCUACGUGUAGGUGUUUGUAUGUACCGUAUGAAUAAGGAUCGGCUAACUCCGUGCCAGCAGCCGCGGUAAUACGGAGGAUCCGAGCGUUAUCCGGAUUUAUUGGGUUUAAAGGGAGCGUAGAUGGGCGUUUAAGUCAGUUGUGAAAGUUUGCGGCUCAACCGUAAAAUUGCGGUUGAUACUGGGCGCCUUGAGUGCAGUUGAGGUAGGCGGAAUUCGUGGUGUAGCGGUGAAAUGCUUAAAUAUCACGAAGAACUCCGAUUG
RNAcentral lists this ribosomal RNA (696 nucleotides) under uncultured bacterium. RNAcentral's name for it is "bacterial SSU rRNA". It matches the Rfam family "Bacterial small subunit ribosomal RNA", at positions 32 to 715 of the family's 1533-position model. The record is from RNAcentral.